Molecule: ribosomal RNA, 558 nt
Filed under: Platynothrus peltifer
Lineage: Eukaryota; Metazoa; Arthropoda; Arachnida; Sarcoptiformes; Camisiidae
Description: eukaryotic LSU rRNA
Rfam family: Eukaryotic large subunit ribosomal RNA
Source: RNAcentral
GACCCGUCUUGAAGCACGGACCAAGGAGUCUAACAUGUGCGCGAGUCACUCGGUCUUGAAUAGGCCAGAGAGGCGCAAUGAAAGUAAUGUUGAUUGAGUUACGAUCCUUAUGCAGUUAUCCGUAUGGGUAACGGUAAGGCGCAGUAACAGCCCGCCAAUUUCGCUUAUUGACGAUAUGGCGGAGUUGUAGCGUACACGUUGGUACCCGAAAGAUGGUGAACUAUGCCUGGGCAGGACGAAGCCAGAGGAAACUCUGGUGGAGGUUCGUAGAAAUUUUGACGUGCAAAUCAAUUUUCAGACCUGGGUAUAGGGGCGAAAGACUAAUCGAACCAUCUAGUAGCUGGUUCCCUCUGAAGUUUCCCUCAGGAUAGCAGACACUCGAUGAGAUUCAGUCUCAUCCGGUAAAGCGAAUGAUUAGAGGCAUUGGGGUCGAAACGACCUCAACCUAUUCUCAAACUUUAAAUGGGUGAGAAGCCUGACUUGUUUGAUUAAAGCCAUGCUUUUGGAUGUAUGAGUGCCUAGUGGGCCAUUUUUGGUAAGCAGAACUGGCGCUGUGGG